Long non-coding RNA from Temnothorax curvispinosus, 3539 nucleotides. RefSeq lists it as uncharacterized. The record is from RefSeq and is a predicted model, not a curated record. NCBI's taxonomy places the organism in Eukaryota, Metazoa, Arthropoda, Insecta, Hymenoptera, Formicidae. The transcript is spliced from 3 exons.
UUAGAAAAGAACUUUUUGACUGCUGCUUAGCUGCUCAGUGAGCGGUUAUAAUACUGAAUGCACCUAUUAACAUGAUCGUAUUUGCUUAUUAACGGGAAAUAUGAUUUUAUAAAAUUGACAAUGUACAUGAUUCGUAUUCGAUCCAUCUAGAUUCAAAAUUUUCGAAUCAUAGAAAUUUAAUUUUGAAAUGUUCGCACAUCGAUCUCCAUCUGAAAACAUACAUUUUAAUAUGAUUUCGCAGAAAUAUGGAAAUGAUUAUAUUAUGUAGAUAUAGGUAUUGAAAUUAUUAUAUCGUAUUGAUGAUCUAUUUGAUAUAUGCAGAGAUGCGAAAGAGGAGAUGUAAGAGAGAUAUGGAAAUAUGGAUGCGCACAGAGAGAUGUCAGAAUAUUCAAAUACAAUAUCAAGCUGCAGACACGGAGAAUCCCUUCUCGGGUAACGUACGCGUCUACCAGGUAGAAAUUCCGCGGCGGCAUAAAGAGAGACUCGCGUCUCCCGGACGCGCUUGUUCGUAAUUACGAAAAUGCGUGUACGUGCGUACGGGACGCGGCACGUUCCAGGUCGCGGAGUUCGGCGGCGAACGAGGAAAAGAAGGAAGAGGAGGAGAGAACGCGCGCGCGCGAGGUGGUUGCGACUUGCGGCCCGCGGGGAGGAGAAAGAAAGUAUCCGAUGAGGAAGAGUCGACGAGCGGAAUAUCAAGCGAACGGCCCGUGUAAUUCGGUUCCGUACGAUCGAAUUCACCAGCUCCUGGGCCGACGCGGCGACGGGGAGCGGCCGGGCGCGCCAAAUCUCUCGCAAAAUCUCGUUAGAGAGACAAAAGAGUCGCAGGAAAUAAAAUCCUACCGGAUUUCAGCAACCGCGUGCGCGGCAUAACGGCCACGUAUUGUGCAAGCGGCGUCUCUCUGUAAGUGUUCCUCGGUUCAUAAUACCUCUCCCCUGCCGAGGGGGCGACACGUUGGCACAUUUAGAAGAGAGAAAGAAAACGCGGUCCGUGGCGAGCGAAUUUUUCAUCUUCGAGCUUAAAAAUGGGAUUUUCGAGAACAAAGUUUGCCAGAAAAUUUAUAAUAAAUCUUUUUACGUAAGACGAGGUUGAAGGAGAAGGAGCGUUCAAUCACAGUGUGUUUGCUGAGAAGAUAACGCGAUCGACGCUAACAAUAAGUGUCACUAGAUAGAAAAUGACACGGGAUGCGUUCUGUAUACGAGGAAUAAAACGAAUGAUAUUUUCUAAUACAAGUUUCCGAGGCCGUCGGUUCUCGCAGAUUCAACUUUGUUAGCGGGGUCGAGCGAAAUUUAUAUUUCUCUGCCGUGCGAACGCGCAACGAAAGUUAUACAUCAUCAUGGCGCAUGAAGAACGUUUAAUCUCCGUGAUUCAGCUCGUUAGAGGCGGAUUGCCCGUUAGACGCGGCUGAGCUGUCGGCUGCUGUUUAAAGCCGGUUCUACAAUAAGUCACAAAUGAUGGCAAGUUGCUAGUUGAAAAGUGUUAAUUUUGAUUGCCGAUUGCCACAGUUACUGUCGCCAAAAAAGUUAAAAGUUCGCCAACUCUCUUUUGACAACCGCAAUUGACAAGCGCGACAUGGAAAUAACACUUUUCAACUAGCAGUUGCUAUCGUUUGCAAAGUAUUGUAGAACCGGCUUAAUAGUUAAAAAUGAGUUGCGUAACUCCGUUGCGGGUUGGGGAGGACCUUCGUUGCGAUUUGCGCGAGCGCGGGCGAAGCGCGUCGUUUAGCAUCGGGAGGUCCUCGCGAAACGGACAGCUUGCAAGCACGUACCGGUCUCGGCGCCGGAGGAUCGAUGCACGUGCUCGUAAAAUCCGACCGUGUCGCAAAGUGUUUGCUUUGCUCGCAGUGCGCCGCACCAGGUUUGCGACACGCGACGGCAGGCACCUGCCGCCGGGAAGAAGAACGGCGAGGCCGCAAAACGGAAGAUCAAGGAGAUUUAAGGACCGCCCGAAGGAACGUCGCAUACGCUGAAUCUCUUAAACGCGUAAAUUAAUCUAACGUAAAGAGAGGACGAUUCCUUCCAUCCUUUCGCGAAUAAUCGGCGCCAUGACGAUAACGGACGUUCCUAUAGUCACCCGAAGAUAUAACAGCGACGAUCGGGUGUCUAGCUACAUGCGCAAGAGACGACGUGCACCUGACAUACACGAGGAACACUUAUGGGAACCCGAAGUGAGGGAUUUGUCGGAUCAUCCUGUAGCUCGCUCUGCAAUUCAAUCGUAUGUGAAUCAGCUGUGAGAGCGGCAUGUGCACGUGCGAGUUCACGGGGAACGUGACAGCAAGGUGCACCAGUUCAAGGAGAUGCAACGUCGACGACGCGACGUUCGAGGGAAAUUUCCUUUCUCCCGCGUUCUCGCGUGUAUACGGAAACGAAGAACUGCAUAUCAACGCCGAUUCUCCACGACGUGAGGCUCGUAAAAAUAGUAACGUCGGUGUGCCGAGCUGCCGAGGAGCCGAGCAUAACCGCGGCUCGACCUUUCGCAUACGCGCGGCUAUUUUCUAUUCCAUUGUAUCGUCGAAAUAUUAAUAUCGCGACACUUAAUGAGUAUUUUAUCGCGCGCGUGUAUUUCAGUAGCUAUCACAUUAUAAUCGCAAAUACCGGGCGCUUUAUUUUUCGCGAGACAGAAGAGUAUUAUUCAAUUAUGCAAAAAAAACUUUGUAAAUAUUUUUUAUGUAAUAUAAAUGCUAAGCGUUGACGUCACUGUAAUAUUUUGCGAGAGAUAUUACGUAUGCAUGUAAAAUGUGUAAUAUAAAAAAUAUUUUUAUUUUUAUGAUUACUAAAAAUAAUAUAAUUAAAACUAAGCGAAUAAGCUCGUUGCAGUCAUCGCGGAAUCUGCUAGGACAUCGCAUUUAACUUUUUUAUUAUAAUUGUUAUAUUAAAUCACUAAUAUCUUUCUCUUUCUUUCUCUACAUUAACAAUUAAAAUUAUUAUUAUUAUUUAAAAUUAUUAAUAAUCUUUUACAAUAUCUUCACUUGCCUUGAGAAUAAAGAGAAGACUCAAAGGAGUCUUCAGUUGAUCGAUGAUGAAAGAGGCUAAAAAUUGAUCGUUACCUUCUUACAGUAACAAAUUAACAAUUCCAUUUAAUUUUAACGCUCGGCUAUCACAUUUCCCUUGCGCGCGACCUUUGCGCGGGAUUAUCAAUCAUAUCUACGACUUUCGGCGAGAACGACAAACGCGUGCCGGCAAUCUCACCGAGCGAUUACGGAACCCGCGUGAAUGCGCGACGGACGUGGUAACCGUGAAAUCUCAAGCGGACGACCGUAAUUAUGACUUUCCUCUCGACGCGGGAAUAUCGCAAUGUCACUGGCGACAAUCUCCGCUUGCGAAUCCACGUGCGUGGCCGUGCGUCGUACGCGCGACGCGACGUGCGUAUAUAUCUUUUAUUCGACUGUACAUAUAGCAUUUACCUUACGUCAAACGAGAAAUGUUGAAGCUGAUAUUUCUUGAAUAUCCAUAUUUGGUAUCGAGACUAAUUGCUAGAAGAUAAAUAUAUAGAUAAAUAUUAAUAAGCGCCAAUAAAUUAAGUAGCAAUUUUGAUUUUUAAG